Molecule: ribosomal RNA, 1175 nt
Filed under: Escherichia coli
Lineage: Bacteria; Pseudomonadati; Pseudomonadota; Gammaproteobacteria; Enterobacterales; Enterobacteriaceae
Description: partial 23S ribosomal RNA
Rfam family: Bacterial large subunit ribosomal RNA
Source: RNAcentral
AUCUAGCCAUGGGCAGGUUGAAGGUUGGGUAACACUAACUGGAGGACCGAACCGACUAAUGUUGAAAAAUUAGCGGAUGACUUGUGGCUGGGGGUGAAAGGCCAAUCAAACCGGGAGAUAGCUGGUUCUCCCCGAAAGCUAUUUAGGUAGCGCCUCGUGAAUUCAUCUCCGGGGGUAGAGCACUGUUUCGGCAAGGGGGUCAUCCCGACUUACCAACCCGAUGCAAACUGCGAAUACCGGAGAAUGUUAUCACGGGAGACACACGGCGGGUGCUAACGUCCGUCGUGAAGAGGGAAACAACCCAGACCGCCAGCUAAGGUCCCAAAGUCAUGGUUAAGUGGGAAACGAUGUGGGAAGGCCCAGACAGCCAGGAUGUUGGCUUAGAAGCAGCCAUCAUUUAAAGAAAGCGUAAUAGCUCACUGGUCGAGUCGGCCUGCGCGGAAGAUGUAACGGGGCUAAACCAUGCACCGAAGCUGCGGCAGCGACGCUUAUGCGUUGUUGGGUAGGGGAGCGUUCUGUAAGCCUGUGAAGGUGUGCUGUGAGGCAUGCUGGAGGUAUCAGAAGUGCGAAUGCUGACAUAAGUAACGAUAAAGCGGGUGAAAAGCCCGCUCGCCGGAAGACCAAGGGUUCCUGUCCAACGUUAAUCGGGGCAGGGUGAGUCGACCCCUAAGGCGAGGCCGAAAGGCGUAGUCGAUGGGAAACAGGUUAAUAUUCCUGUACUUGGUGUUACUGCGAAGGGGGGACGGAGAAGGCUAUGUUGGCCGGGCGACGGUUGUCCCGGUUUAAGCGUGUAGGCUGGUUUUCCAGGCAAAUCCGGAAAAUCAAGGCUGAGGCGUGAUGACGAGGCACUACGGUGCUGAAGCAACAAAUGCCCUGCUUCCAGGAAAAGCCUCUAAGCAUCAGGUAACAUCAAAUCGUACCCCAAACCGACACAGGUGGUCAGGUAGAGAAUACCAAGGCGCUUGAGAGAACUCGGGUGAAGGAACUAGGCAAAAUGGUGCCGUAACUUCGGGAGAAGGCACGCUGAUAUGUAGGUGAAGUCCCUUGCGGAUGGAGCUGAAAUCAGUCGAAGAUACCAGCUGGCUGCAACUGUUUAUUAAAAACACAGCACUGUGCAAACACGAAAGUGGACGUAUACGGUGUGACGCCUGCCCGGUGCCGGAAGGUUAAUUGAU